GGUAUCUUAAUUAAUUACAAUUAGCAGGACCUGCCUGACAACCCAUGCCGAAAGUAAAGGGAAUUUAAUUUGCUAGCACUAUAUUUAACCCUAUAACCUUCCGAGACACCAUAAAACCUGUACAUGGGGGGUACUGUUCUACUCGGGAGACUUCGCUGAACACAAAUAUUAGUGUUUCAAAACAGUAAAAUGUAUUACAACGAUGAUA
Pelobates cultripes (western spadefoot toad) is the source of this 208-nucleotide non-coding RNA. The record is from the annotation of a GenBank genome assembly. NCBI's taxonomy places the organism in Eukaryota, Metazoa, Chordata, Amphibia, Anura, Pelobatidae.